Molecule: ribosomal RNA, 253 nt
Filed under: uncultured bacterium
Lineage: Bacteria
Description: partial 16S ribosomal RNA
Rfam family: Bacterial small subunit ribosomal RNA
Source: RNAcentral
UACGUAGGGGGCAAGCGUUGUCCGGAUUUAUUGGGCGUAAAGAGCGUGUAGGCGGUUUGGUAGGUCCGUUGUGAAAACUCGAGGCUCAACCUCGAGACGCCGAUGGAAACCAUCAGACUAGAGUCCGGAAGAGGAGAGUGGAAUUCCUGGUGUAGCGGUAAAAUGCGCAGAUAUCAGGAAGAACACCCGUGGCUAAGGCGGCUCUCUAGUACGGUACUGACGCUGAGACGCGAAAGCGUGGGGAGCGAACAGG